CUGAGUCUAGGGUCUUCAAGGCCCGAACCUCCCAACCCUAUGUUUACUGAACCUAUGUUGCUUCGGCGGGCCCGUCUUCUCACGAGGACCGCCGGAGGACCGCCGUCACAGGCGUCCUCUGGCCCGCGCCCGCCGAUGGCCCCCCUUAAAAUUCUUGUCUAAAUCGUGUUGUCUAUCUGAAUUACAAAAGCAAAUAAAUGCA
Molecule: unclassified non-coding RNA, 202 nt
Filed under: uncultured fungus
Lineage: Eukaryota; Fungi
Description: sequence contains ITS1, 5.8S rRNA gene
Source: RNAcentral